Molecule: unclassified non-coding RNA, 253 nt
Filed under: uncultured Myxococcales bacterium
Lineage: Bacteria; Pseudomonadati; Myxococcota; Myxococcia; Myxococcales
Description: contains 16S-23S intergenic spacer region
Rfam family: Bacterial small subunit ribosomal RNA
Source: RNAcentral
GACAGAGGGUGCAAACGUUGUUCGGAAUUACUGGGCGUAAAGCGCGUGUAGGCGGCUUGGCAAGUCGGGUGUGAAAGCCCUGGGCUCAACCUAGGAAGUGCACUCGAAACUGCUUGGCUGGAGUACCGGAGAGGGAAGCGGAAUUCUCGGUGUAGAGGUGAAAUUCGUAGAUAUCGAGAGGAACACCGGUGGCGAAGGCGGCUUCCUGGACGGUUACUGACGCUGAGACGCGAAAGCGUGGGGAGCAAACGGG